Molecule: long non-coding RNA, 117 nt
Organism: Scleropages formosus (Asian bonytongue)
Lineage: Eukaryota; Metazoa; Chordata; Actinopteri; Osteoglossiformes; Osteoglossidae
Exons: 3
Source: RefSeq, a predicted model, not a curated record
CUGGGUAAUUUUGUUGGAGCAAUUUAGGGUGCUCCAUUUUCUUCCCUACUGCUGCAGCUAAAGUCCUGACAACAACUUAAGGGAGAGACAGAAAUUCCUGCACCAGCAAUGUCUAAC